GAGUUGAAAUUGCAGCUACAAGACUUACUUGAUAAAGGGUUUAUACGCCCUAGUGUGUCACAUUGGGGAGCACCAGUACUAUUUGUCAAAAAGAAAGAUGGCACCUUUAGGCUGUGCAUUGAUUACAGGCAGCUGAACAAGGUGACAGUCAAGAAUGAAUAUCCUUUACCCGAGAUUGAAGAUUUGUUUGAUCAGUUAAAAGGGGCAGGGGUCUUCUCCAAAAUUGAUUUGAGAUCCGGG
RNAcentral lists this unclassified non-coding RNA (240 nucleotides) under Hevea brasiliensis (rubber tree). Lineage: Eukaryota; Viridiplantae; Streptophyta; Magnoliopsida; Malpighiales; Euphorbiaceae. The record is from RNAcentral.